AAUCAACGCUGGCGGCGUGCCUCAGACAUGCAAGUCGAACGAUUAAAGCUCUCUUCGGAGAGUGCAUAGAGUGGCGCACGGGUGAGUAACACGUAAGUAAUCUACCCUCGAGUGGGGAAGUAACGUCCGGAACGGACGCUAAUACCGCAUAAUGCAGCGGCACCGCAAGGUGACAGUUGUUAAAGAUUUAUCGCUUGAGGAGGAGCUUGCGGCAGAUAGCUAGUUGGUAAGGUAAUGGCUUACCAAGGCUACGAUCUGUAACCGGUCUUAGAGGACGGUCGGUCACACUGACACUGAAUAACGGGUCAGACUCCUACGGGAGGCAGCAGUC
Molecule: ribosomal RNA, 331 nt
Filed under: uncultured bacterium
Lineage: Bacteria
Description: bacterial SSU rRNA
Rfam family: Bacterial small subunit ribosomal RNA
Source: RNAcentral